UACGGAGGGGGCUAGCGUUGUUCGGAAUUACUGGGCGUAAAGCGCACGUAGGCGGCUUUGUAAGUUAGAGGUGAAAGCCCAGGGCUUAACCCUGGAAUUGCCUUUAAGACCGCAUCGCUAGAAUCGUGGGGAGGUGAGUGGAAUUCCGAGUGUAGAGGUGAAAUUCGUAGAUAUUCGGAAGAACACCAGUGGCGAAGGCGACUCACUGGACACGUAUUGACGCUGAGGUGCGAAAGCGUGGGGAGCAAACAGG
RNAcentral lists this ribosomal RNA (253 nucleotides) under uncultured bacterium. Its description in RNAcentral is "partial 16S ribosomal RNA". It matches the Rfam family "Bacterial small subunit ribosomal RNA", at positions 524 to 776 of the family's 1533-position model. The record is from RNAcentral.